RNAcentral lists this ribosomal RNA (116 nucleotides) under Monodelphis domestica (gray short-tailed opossum). The record is from RNAcentral. Lineage: Eukaryota; Metazoa; Chordata; Mammalia; Didelphimorphia; Didelphidae.
GUCUAUAUUCACAACUCUGAAGGCUCCCAUCUUCUCUGAUCUCAGAAGUUAAGCAGGGUCAGGUCUGGUUAGUACUUGGAUGGGAGACCUUCGGGGAAUACUGGGUGCUGCAGGUU